This 247-nucleotide long non-coding RNA is filed under the name Gallus gallus (chicken). Lineage: Eukaryota; Metazoa; Chordata; Aves; Galliformes; Phasianidae. The record is from RNAcentral.
GUGCGUUGUCAUGGGGUUUACGAGGUAGUAAUUUUAGCUUUCUCCAGUCCAGAAACUCAUGGAGGCUGGUGAAAGGGUCUUGAGAGAUAGAGCACUUAUCCAUGUCGUUCCACACUUCCACUCCAACCAGGGCUACUCGAAUAUUCAGCGGCCUAUAGAACUUAUCGACAUAGUUUGCAAUUUCUAUCAGCCUCUGCUUAAUUUUUUCCACAUCCUUGCCUUGUCUCUGAAACUCACGAUUAUCCGC